CCUGGCGGCCUUAGCGCGGUGGUCCCACCUGAUCCCAUGCCGAACUCAGAAGUGAAACGCCGUAGCGCCGAUGGUAGUGUGGGGUCUCCCCAUGCGAG
This 98-nucleotide ribosomal RNA is filed under the name Escherichia coli. The record is from RNAcentral. Lineage: Bacteria; Pseudomonadati; Pseudomonadota; Gammaproteobacteria; Enterobacterales; Enterobacteriaceae.